RNAcentral lists this ribosomal RNA (460 nucleotides) under uncultured bacterium. Its description in RNAcentral is "partial 16S ribosomal RNA". It matches the Rfam family "Bacterial small subunit ribosomal RNA", at positions 338 to 795 of the family's 1533-position model. The record is from RNAcentral.
CCUACGGGAGACAGCAGUGAGGAAUAUUGGUCAAUGGGCGGAAGCCUGAACCAGCCAAGUAGCGUGCAGGAUGACGGCCCUACGGGUUGUCAACUGCUUUUAUACGGGAAUCACGCGCCUUACGUGUAGGGCUUUGCAUGUACCGUAUGCAUAAUGACCGGCUAAUUCCGUGCCAGCAGCCGCGGUAAUACGGAAGGUCCGGGCGUUAUCCGGAUUUAGUGGGUUUAAAGGGAGCGUAGGCCGCAUGUCAAGCGUGCUGUGAAAUGUCCGGGCUCAACCCGGGCCUUGCAGCGCGAACUGGCGUGCUUGAGUCCGCGGAAAGUAGGCGGAAGUCGUGGUGUAGCGGUGAAAUGCUUAGAUAUGACGAAGAACCCCGAUUGCGAAGGCAGCUUGCUGCAGCGGAACUGACGCUGAUGCUCGAAAGCGCGGGUAUCGAACAGGAUUAGAUACCCGGGUAGUC